Molecule: ribosomal RNA, 478 nt
Filed under: uncultured bacterium
Lineage: Bacteria
Description: partial 16S ribosomal RNA
Rfam family: Bacterial small subunit ribosomal RNA
Source: RNAcentral
GAUGAACGCUGGCGGCGUGCUUAACACAUGCAAGUCGAACGAGAAAUGGAGACGGACACCUUCGGGCGGAAGGCUUCAUUUCGAGUGGCGGAAGGGAGAUUAACGCGUGGGGAACCUGCCGUAUACAGGGGGAUAAUAGUUGGAAACGACUGCUAAUACCGCAUAAGACCACAGCACCGCAUGGUGCGGGGGAAAAAACCCCGGUGGGGUGAGAUGGACCCGCGUUCGAUUAGCCAGUUGGCGGGGUAACGGCCCACCAAAGUGAAGCUCGAAAGCUGAACUGAGAGGAUGACCGGCCACCUUGGGAGUGAGACACGGCCCAAACUACUGCGGGAGGCAGCAGUGGCGAAUAUUGCACAGUGGGGGAAACGCUGAUGCAGCUACGCCGCGUGAGUGAAGAAGUACUUCGGUAUGUAAAGCUCGAUCAGAAGGUAAGAAAAUGACGUUACCUGAGGAAGAAGCCCCGGCUAACUACGUG